This is a long non-coding RNA of Salvia miltiorrhiza (redroot sage), 913 nucleotides long. RefSeq lists it as uncharacterized. Lineage: Eukaryota; Viridiplantae; Streptophyta; Magnoliopsida; Lamiales; Lamiaceae. The transcript has 3 exons. The record is from RefSeq and is a predicted model, not a curated record.
AAAAAAACGCGUGUUUACCGGCGUAAACUACCGGCGGCGCUUUUGCCGUCGGUACCUAACGGCGGCACGGCGGCGGCAUUUCAGGCGACCCGAACCUUCGAAAUUACCGGCCAGUUACCGACGGCAAACCCGCCGCCGUUAACUAGCGACGGCGACGCCGCCGUUAAGUUUUGAAUAUUCAAUAAAACAUUAUUUUAACACAAUUACCGACGGCGUUUUUGCCGUCGCUAGCUAGCGGCGGCACUUGCCCUCGGUAAUGUCUAAUAUUAGGGCACGCGUAACCUCCUUUUUUCAGUUCUGCGCAAAACAGAUCCCCCCACCCCCCGCCGCUUCUGCUGCUGCCACCAGCCGACCACCGCCGCCGACCGCCGCCGCCGAACCCCGCCGCCGACCGCCGCCGUGCCCAGCCGCCCGUUCGACGAUUUCGUUUCGCCGCUUUCUUCACGACACCCGCCGGAAACCACCACCAAUUUGCAAGAAUGAGUGAUAAUCGUACGUGGAUGUACGCGAGAUACAAUGAUCGUACCGCAUUUGAAACGGGGCUUGAGUUUUUCCUUGAGUGGGCGUUCAAUCAAACGGCGUACACAGAUGGACAAGGUAACAUUAGGUGCCCGUGUAAGAAGUGCAAGAAUCAAGCGUAUUUAGAUGUACCUACGGUCAGAGAACAUGUUAGUAGGCGUGGAUUUGUCCUGAAUUACAAAGUUUGGGUUUGUCACGGGGAAGCACCGCUGUCUAUGCCGAGAGAACAUGCUAUAAUGAAUGAGGAUGAUGGAUUAUACAAUAACUACGAAAGGAUGGUGCAUGACCAUGCUGGACCUAGUAAUUAUCAAGAUCCUCCAAAUCUGGAGCAGCCGCCCAAUAAUGACGCUCAACAGAUUUAUAACAUGUUGGAUGCAGCGGAUACUCCAUUGUA